UACGGGAGGCAGCAGUGGGGAAUAUUGCACAAUGGGCGAAAGCCUGAUGCAGCUAUGCCGCGUGUAUGAAGAAGGCCUUAGGGUUGUAAAGUACUUUCAUCGGGGAGGAAAAAACAAAACUAAUAAUUUUAUUUCUUGACGUUACCCGAAAAAGAAGCACCGGCUAACUCCGUGCCAGCAGCCGCGGUAAUACGGAGGGUGCUAGCGUUAAUCAGAAUUACUGGGCGUAAAGAGCACGUAGGUGGUUUUUUUAAAGUCAGAUGUGAAAUCCCUGGGCUUAACCUAGGAACUGCAUUUUGAAACUGAAAUACUAGAGUAUCGUAGAGGGAGGUAGAAUUCUAGGUGUAGCGGUGAAAUGCGUAGAUAUCUGGAGGAAUACCUGUGGCGAAAGCGGCCUCCUAAACGAAUACUGACACUGAGGUGCGAAAGCGUGGGGAGCAAACGAGGGAUUAGGAUACC
Molecule: ribosomal RNA, 459 nt
Filed under: uncultured bacterium
Lineage: Bacteria
Description: bacterial SSU rRNA
Rfam family: Bacterial small subunit ribosomal RNA
Source: RNAcentral